GCCGUUGUAGCUCAAUGGCAGAGCGGCUGAUUUGUAAUCAGUAGGUUGGGAGUUCAACUCUCCCCGGCGGCU
This 72-nucleotide transfer RNA is filed under the name Desulfobacteraceae bacterium. RNAcentral's name for it is "tRNA-Thr". It matches the Rfam family "tRNA". From Rfam's summary of the family: Transfer RNA (tRNA) molecules are approximately 80 nucleotides in length. Their secondary structure includes four short double-helical elements and three loops (D, anti-codon, and T loops). Further hydrogen bonds mediate the characteristic L-shaped molecular structure. tRNAs have two regions of fundamental functional importance: the anti-codon, which is responsible for specific mRNA codon recognition, and the 3' end, to which the tRNAs corresponding amino acid is attached (by aminoacyl-tRNA synthetases). tRNAs cope with the degeneracy of the genetic code in two manners: having more than one tRNA (with a specific anti-codon) for a particular amino acid; and 'wobble' base-pairing, i.e. permitting non-standard base-pairing at the 3rd anti-codon position. Lineage: Bacteria; Pseudomonadati; Thermodesulfobacteriota; Desulfobacteria; Desulfobacterales; Desulfobacteraceae. The record is from RNAcentral.